RNAcentral lists this long non-coding RNA (634 nucleotides) under Carica papaya (papaya). Its description in RNAcentral is "long non-coding RNA (CPAP_LNC006785)". The record is from RNAcentral. Lineage: Eukaryota; Viridiplantae; Streptophyta; Magnoliopsida; Brassicales; Caricaceae.
GUAAUUUCAUUUUUUUUUUAAUUUUUCAUAAAUGUACUUAAUUAUUCUAUUUUAAAAAUGUCAAAAAUUUCCCAAAAAUUCCCCCAAUAACCCACAGGAUUACAGAAAAUCCCCUGACCACAAAAAUCUCCCUUUUUCCCAAGGCAUCCAACUUGCGGGGAAAGCAUGCAGAAAUUCUCCAACGCGCAAGGUUAGCCGCGCGGACUCACAGGCUCCGUUUCUACCUCUCACAGGCACGUAAUCGUGGGACACGCAGGAUCUCUUUUCCCUCGCCCGUGAGACAACUCCACACGAGAGAUAGCUUCUACCCGUGUGUCCUAGCACCUGCAAAUGCCUGCACGUGAGCCAUCAAGGAGCUUCAACACUUUUGUGCCACAUGUCCUAGAAUGACCGAAACAGUGCCUACACCAAUCGGACACCCACUGUAUCAACAGCCCAAGAUCCGUGCAUGUCAUCCGACAGCCGUGAUUCCUUCUCUUUUCACGCUUAAAGGAGCUUUUCUUCGGUCUCCCUUCAUUUUCGAACAGAAAAUUGAAACAAGAGAGAGAGAGAGAGAGAGAGAGAGAGAGAGAGAGAGAGCUUCUGUAAGAUAAAAAGUGUGCCUGAGUGUGCGAGUGAAAUGAAACAGUGAGAG